UCAUAGGGAUGAAGAGCUUCGGCUCUGAAUAUCUAUGGCUAGAUAAAGUACAAGUCGUAACAAGGUUUCAGUU
RNAcentral lists this ribosomal RNA (73 nucleotides) under Enterocytozoon bieneusi. Its description in RNAcentral is "partial small subunit ribosomal RNA". The record is from RNAcentral. Lineage: Eukaryota; Fungi; Microsporidia; Enterocytozoonidae.